GGGGGACAAAGUCAGUAAACCAAGUUUUUGAUUCAAACAGAGAAACUCAACCUGAUACUCAGAACAUCCUCAAAACCAUAGCAGUCUAACGAAGCAACCCAUUAAACAGAUUACAAAGCCAAGGUUAGGUACUAACCUUAACUAAAUAAGCAGGGGUGCCUGGUUGAGGAACAUCAGCAGUAACAUGUCCACGCCUACGAGACAAUACAGUGUAGAUCGCAGAUACACAAUCUAUUGGAGUUUGAAUCUGAUGCAAAGGCCAGUAGAAUAACAUUGCCAUCAUAGCAAGUAUCAGUGAAAUAGUAAAAUUAUUGGUCUCAAAAUUCAAUCUAGAAUUAGUGUAAAUAUAAGAAUGAUUUUGCUAGCUUCUGUAAAUUAUAUUAUUCUGGCCAUACUUAAUUAGCCAUGCUUUUAAAUUAAAAUGGUGAACAUGCUCUGCUAAACAGCUUGAAUGCAGAUCUUUCUGACAAUAUGUAAUAAUCAAUGAGUUAAAAUGUCAGAAACCACAAUGAUUACAACCAAAUUUGAUACGCAGCCAUAAAUGAAGUAUAAAAUAACAAGAAUAUACCUCUACAUAAUAUACUGGUUCCAUUAACCUAGGGGUAGCCAUAAGGAAAGAUGAAUAAGCCACUCGUCGAGCAGUUGGAAUGAUUUGGCCAGAUCCCCGAUUAAGUGGCUCUGGGGCAAUCCUUGCAUCAACAAUCUUAAACUUAACAUUUCUGAUGGGCUCAUCGCAAAGAGGUCCUUCUCGUGCACCCCAUUGAAAUCUGUUAAAUAACAAAAAUAAAAUAAAAUUUACAAUAUACGAUUAAUUGAUCAACACAUCUAAAUAGUUCAAUGUAUUGUAUGCCUACCCCUGAACAAUGGAGUCCUUAACAGCAUUUAGCAGGUUCUUGUCAACUUCAGUUGGAAGGGUGUCGUCCAACAGAAUAUUGGGGCCCUGCAUUAUCCUUGAAUAUGUUACACACAAAUUCCAGGAGACAGACAGAGCAAUAGACAGAUACAGAGACUUACCUGCUUAUCAGGGCCAAAUGCCCAGAUUGAUCGCGCAGCAAGAAGAUCCCAGUCAUAUUUAGUCUGGAAAAAUUCACCCAGUUUCUUUCUAUUCCAGUCAGUGCUAACAACACCAUUCUCUAUGUCUUCAGCAAGACCUCUUUCUAGUGGCUCAGCAAUCUAAAGAAUGAGCAAGGUUAUCAUGAAUGAAAUGAACAAUAAAUCAGUCUCAGUAAAAUAAAAGUAUUCUUAAGCUGCAUAUUAUACUUCAAGAAGCCUCCACAAUAAGAUAGACAGGAAGACACCUACCAUUGUUAUUUUAUUCUUCUUGUUUGGUGUUUCAGCAAAACAUUUCAUUGAUGAAGAUUCAACAACAGUUUCACAAAACGAAACUACAGGAUCUGCUACCUACAAAUACAGAGUAAAGGAUAAUCUUCAAUAAAGGAACAGCUUAUAAGUCAAUGUCUAGCCCAAAAAGGGAAUGAAAAUCUAUGACAGGAGAACUGAGAAGGGAAAAGGGAAACAAUAUAAGACCUUGACUUCGACUUCAGAAUAGAGCUCUCUUAGGUCCUUCAUAAUUGAAUCCAAGUACAGCUCGCCAGUCCCUAGUAUAGUGUGCUCCCCAGACUCCUCAACUUUAGUAACCGCUAAAGGAUAACUCUUGCUAAUUUUCCUCAGGCCCUCCACCAUUUUAGGCAACUCGCUUGGAUUUAAUGGCUCAGUCGCUGUUUUCACCACUGACAGAGUAUUGAACAGGAGAGGGCGGAAUAUGUAUACAUCCUCAUCAUAAUCGACAUUACAUAGAGUGGCGGUUUUCAUGAUUGAAGCAUCCACACCUUCAAUAAGAACCCAAGAACCUGGAGGAGCCUCCGAUAUUGGCAUCCUAUCACGGGCUUGAUAUACCCACAACUUAGUUACUUCUUUUACAGUCAUGUCCUCCUCAUCAUCCGGUGAGUAUCCUUCUCCCAGAACACGUACUGUCUGUCCAGUCUGUAUCUUGCCACUAUAAACUCGACCAAAAGCAUCAAAGACACUACAAUCAGACUUUGGAUACAGCUUGGUCACAUUAACCAUUAGGGGCCCUGAAGAAUCACACUGUGUCAUGGCUUUGUAGAUGGAUGAGUCUUUCGGUCCGGUAUAUAUAUGAUCAACUUUCUUUACUGCGGCAUCUCUCGGGGAAGGUAUAUGCUGAACAAGCAUAUCAGUGAAACCUGAAGCUUGACCAAAAACAGAGCUACAAGCCAGCCUUAGCAAUGGUCUAACAUUUAAUCUAUAAGCUGCAUUACUUAGAGUAACUCCAAGUUCUGCUAGAGUUGUCUCCACACUUUUCUUAUGCUCCCCAAUUACUUGGCUAUAUAUCUUGUAAAGCGGCUCCAGUACAAACUCAACAAAAGAUCGUUCUCCUCCACUGACAGGGGGUUUCUUUUUGAAGGUUCUGGUAUCAGGAUGAAAAUAGUAGUCUCCCCAAAGGCGAGAAGCAAAUUUAUUAGGCUCCAAAGGAACUCCAUGUAGCUUCCCAUACAAUUUAGCAAAUGAUUGCAAUGUAAAAGACCACCCAGCAGUGCCACUUGCAAAACAAACAUUCCCAGCAACUGGAUCUAUAACUUGGACAUCACCCGCAGUCGAGGAGGCAGCAGAUAUGUGAGUGUUAAUGACUUCCAAAGUAUGCCUUAUUUUAUGAUAAGCAUCUUUUGGGGGUAGUUUAAGUUCAGUUAUGAUCCUGUCAACCUAAAAACACAACACUUAACAACUAGGAAUAAAACAGGAGUAUAUGUAAGACUAAGACCUACAGCUGACAUUCAUGUUAAGGAAGAAUUAGUGUACCUUAUUGAGUACAACAACAAUGGGCAGUCGCUCCUGAAUCGCAUGGCGAAUUGCUCUCUCAGUGUUUACCUACAAAUCCCAAGAACUAAAAGCUCAACGUUAUGCAGUUAUGUCAUUGUAACUGAUACUAGGUAAAUCAGCAUUGAACGCAAUUAGAUGAAUAAACAUUGUAAGCUCCAUAUUAUAUGAUCGGUCUAGUUAGCUGAUUUCUAUCCCUAAUUUAUGGUUCACCCACGUAAUUAUACUUUUUAACGUAGUUUUUUUGUAUGUCACAAUUCUGUAACAUUAUUAUUACUUCUGGUAUAAUAACCUAACAAAUAGAUCAUAGUCUUCGUAUAAGUUUGAAAAAUGAUAGAGCAUACUAAUUGUUAUUCAAACCCUGAUUUUAACCCUUUUCCCAAGCCAAUUUUUAUACACACCUUACCCUUUUCCUUUCUAAUGACAUCUUCUACGUCUUUUUUUCCCUCUAUAUGCCUAUAUAGAUUUGGAAAUGCAAUUUACUCUCAGCUGAAAUUGACCAACACCCAAAAGUCUAAACAUCAAAAUGGAUCAACAGCACUAAUUAACAAGGGAAUGGGAAGAAGAAAAAGGGUUACCAUCACUCCCUCAGCAGCAUCAACGACCAAAACAGCACCAUCAGCGAGCCUCAAAGCGGCGGUCAUUUCAUCGGAGAAGUUAACAUGGCCAGGAGUAUCCAUAAUAUUACACAAAUACGACUUGGAGUUACUAUCCUCCAGCACCAUCGUCAUGGGCACAGCCUUGAUCGAAAUCCUCCUCUCCUGUUCAUCAAUCCUCGUAUCAGUAUACCGCAAAUGCUUCUCACUCUGUGAAUCAAACGUGGACAUAUGGUGAGUCUGCUCCACCAGCAUAUCCAUGAACACCGUCUUCCCAUGCUGCAAGUGCCCCACAAGAGCCACAUUCCUAGCCAACGAAGGGUUCGACAUGAGACCCAGAAGAAAUUGUGACGAAACGUAGGUUGACGAAUCCUUCACGCCAACCUCGAACUUCAUCUUCCUCACAGGCUUGAUAAUGGGUUGCUCCAGUGGCUGUUCAUCUUCAUCCAUGACUAGGGUUUCCACAUCUUCGCCGAAGACUUCUUCGGCGGUGGGGUAGUACUUCUUGUCCUCCGCCAGGACCACCUGGUUGUCGACCAUGUCGACGUCGUUGGGGUCGCCGGAUGCGGUGAUCCAGCCAUUGGUGGCGGGAGCCUCGCCGUCGGAAGGUUGGGCGGUGUCGGCGUCGGAAGGCUGUUCGUCGUCGGAAGGUUCUCUGUCGGAGUCUUGGUCGGACUCGAUUUCGGGUCCGAUGUAGUUGCCGAACUCGUCGUACAAGCUAUCGUCCAUUUUGGAAGAUGCAGUGAGAUUGGAGAGAGUUGAGUGUGGUGUAGAGUGUGAGCUUCAGAGAAGAAGGGGUUUUUUUGGGUUUAGGGUAAGAAGAGAAGUGAGUAGAGGGAAUGGAAGAUGGGAAUUGCAGGAGAGUGGGCUGGGCUAGGCUGAGUUGAUGGGCCUUAACUCUUAGGGGGCGUUUGUUUCAAGGAAUAUGAUUACCGGUGUUAUUCCUGAGUAAAUUUUAUAAAUGUGUUUGGUAAGUAUUUUGUAUUCUCGGGAACAUUUUAAAAUUUUCUUAAUUUAAAAAUUAAAAAAACUUAAAAAUAAAGGUAAAAAUGAUAAAUUGUUGAAGAAGUGGGAAGUUACAUUCAUCUUUCCCAUGGGAAUGUAAGAUUCCCAACCUUUUUCAUGGGAAUCAAUAUGAAGGAAAUCAUGGGAAUGGUGGAAGUUAUUUUAUUCCCGGGAAUGAUUAAUACCCAGGAAUCAUAGUUUCCAAUAUUGUAACAAACGCAGGAAUGUUCAUUCUCAACCUUCAUAUUCCCGGGAAUCUCUUUCCAAAUCUUGAAACAAACGCCUCCUUAGGGAGCCUUUGUUAGAGAGUUCAAUUUCACAUCACACUUUUUGGUAAAAUAUUAUAAUAUCUCAACUUAAAUUCUUUAUCGAGUUCUGAAAACCCAAAAUGUGUGGUACUCUUUCAGGAUUUUAAAACCCGAAACAUAAUUCAUAGUUUCAUACUAUUUGUUUUGGGUUUUCGAUUUUCGAAACAAAAAACUAAACACUUUCGAGAAUUUUAAAACUCGGCUUAUGUUAUUUUUAACAUAUAUUGUACUUUUGUUUCCGAGUUUUAAAAAAAGGAAUGUUUAUCAAAUGUGUUUCAGAUUUUUAAUUCCUGAAACACAAAUCCAAACAUUUCUGUGAAUUUUAAAACCCGAUAUAUGUUCCGGAUUUUAAAAACUGAAAUUUAAAAUAAGAUGUUCGUGUUUUGAGUUUUACAACUCAGAAUGCUCCAACAAAUGAAUAAAAGGAUGAGGGAAAUGAAUGGAGAGAGGGGAAAUGGGUAUUUUGGAGUAUUGAAAUUUUAAGUAGGGUGAGAAAUUAAAUGGGUGGGAUGAGAAAUUUAACACUUGUUUGUUACGUGGGUUUUAAAAUGCAUUCUUGAGAAUAAGAGUGCGAGAUAGAAAAUUCUCAUGUUUUGGUAUAAGAAUAGAAAAAUAGAUAGUUAGAUGUGAAAUAUUCUCGAGUAUCAGAUUUUCUCACAUUUAUACGUUGCAAGUGGUUAGCAAUUCACAUCUUAUUCUUCGUGUGUGUUCGUGAGCUCCAUUUGCAGCUGCUCACAGUUAGGGUUCUUCUCCUUAAUUCUCCUUUGGCUUAAUUGCACUUUUGGUCCCCCACUUAUACCAAUUGUGCGAUUUUGAUCCUUAAAAAAAAUAGCAAUUUUCAUCCCCCACGUUACCUAUCGUUUGCACUUUUAGUUUUCCGUCUCAUUCCAUCCAAAAUUUAACGGUUUCUGGGAUAAAUAAUAAAUUUAAAAUAAUAAAAUAAUAAAUCCCAGCAACCAUCAUCCAUUAUUCAUCUUCUUCAAGCAUCUUCUUCAUCACAUUUAUUUGAAUCUUGAGAAAACCAGAAAUACAUACCCCAAACCCAACAACCCCCAAAAUUGACCCUAGGAUUUUAGAAAGAGAGAAAUAAUCAGUCUGCAUCAUGGAUACACACAAAGAACACCUAAAUCCAGUCCAUAAAAUAAAAUAAAAUAAAAACCAUUUCUUUUUCGUCCAAAUCCAGCCACAAAAACCAAAAGUUUCAAACUUUAACACAAUACCCACAUGCAAUGUCACUAGGGAUGGCAACGGGUAGGAUCGGGCACGGGUUUUACAAUUACCAAACCCAAACCCAAAUCUCAAAACCCAAACCCAAACCCAAACACAAACCCUUAUGGGCGAUAAAAUGAAAUCCAUGCCCAAAUCCAUUGGAUUUCGGAUUUACCCGAAACCCAAACCCAUUAGUUACGUAGCAACUCAAUCAAGAACUUACUUUCAUAUAAAAAAAAAGUGAAUUUCAUAUAAAGAAAAAAAAAUAUUAUUCAUCAUCCUCAUCCAUCACUAAAGUGAGACAACAAUAGUUUAAAGUUUACUUUCUCAAACAUACAAAAGUACAAUUAAUCAUCAAACACUAAGAACAAAGUUUAUAAAUAUAUAUAUAUAUAUAUAUAUGAGGGUUUUUUUGUAAUUUUAUGUUUCAGGUAUCUUUGGGUUCGGGUUUGGGCGGGUAUGGGCACGGAUUUAACUAAUACCAAAUCCAAACCCAUAAAUGGCUACAGUAACGGGCAAAACCCAAACCCAAAUCCAGUCAACUCGGAUUUUGCCCGUCAAAUCAGAUCGGGUUCGGGCGGGUACCCAUGGGUUUGGGCAAAAUUGCCAUCCCUAAAUGUCACGAAUUCAGAGGAGAAUUAAAAGAAAAAUCCAAAAUUCAAAGGGCAAUCUCAGCGUCUCUCUCCCAUGAAUCCUCUAUGUAUCUCACCAAGAGUUCUGAAAUUUUCUCCUCUUCUUCUCCAAGAAGCCCUAGCCGCCACCUCCUCUCUCUCUCCCCCAUGGAAGCGCCGUCACCACCUCCUUUACUUUCCUGAUCGCACCACCGUCUCCUUUCCUCAACCAAAACCACGCCGCCGCCACCUCCUUUCCUUUCUGUCCUAGAUCGCGGCGCCACCAUCACUCUCUUUUUCUCAAAGCCGCUCCACCACCCAGUGCCGUCUUGUUCGCACACUAGUUCCAGUGCCACAACGACGCCGACGCUCGCCCUCUCUGUUCUUGUCGUUGUAAGACCCAAGAUUUUAGAAUUAAAUAAAUAAAUAAUUUCCAACUCACGCAUAGGAUUCUGUGUAAGCGUGAGAGGAACUUGACUUUCGUUUAAUGUUUGGAUUAGUAUUAUGAAGAAGAAAACGUUAGUAAACGACUAAUUUACACUUAAAGACACGAUGGAAACUAAUUCCAAAAAUCUUCAGAGAAAUGCUAGAACUCCUCUUAAUCCUUCCAUGAUAAGCGUUUCGAUACAAAACCCUGGAAUGUACGAACAUCCGAUUCUAAUUCUCGGAGGUUUGCCGAAACUAAAUCACUGAUAGUUCAAGAAACCUAAAAUCAACGGACGAUGAAGACUUUUCCUGUUCGGAGCUUCAAAUAAAGAUUUCAUCAGCGUACGCCCACUCUAAUCGACGUUCCAAAUCUUUCUUCAGAAGGAAGUUUCUGCAUCCGAGGUCAAAACCAUAAAGUGCAUUUUAAGCCGGUAAACAUUAAAAACAAGCCUCGAAAACCAAAAAUCAUACUGAUAUUUCUUUGAAGAAUUAGAAGAUUCAGCGGGAAGAUUAUCGUGUCUAAAAUACGUUGGAAUCAGUAGAAAAAAUCGGAAUCGCAAAAUUUUCAUUUUUCCGCAUUUUCCAAAACCUAUAAAUAGCUUGAAAAUGAAAAAAAAAAACAAAAAAACAAAAAAAAAUCACAAAACACACACACAUGGCCGUGGCUUUGGAGAGGAAGAGGAGGAAAAGUGAUUUUUGCCAAUUCUUGACCGAUCGUCGUUCUGUUCGUUGCUACGCGUAGGCCUCGAGGUACUGAUGCUUUUCCUUACCUCUGAUCGUAAAUUCUGUCGCUUUUCUCUAUGUCUUUCUGUGCUCAAAGUUUUGAGCUUUUUGUAAAACUGUCCAAAUAACUUGAUUUUAGUGUCUAAACUUAUUCCCUACGUGCUCCUGAGCAUGUUUAGCGGAUUACAUUUCGCCGAAUCUCGUCGAAUCGCCGCAGAACUUCAAUUCUGCUCAAGAACCCAUUUUUAUGCUGAGGUUCAGCUUUUUGGAUCAAAAACUCUCGACUGAGCUUAGCUUUAGUAGGAUUAGUUGUUAUAAAUAUCGUUAGGAUCGACCCCAUCUAAUUUGUUUUUCGAAAUUCUGAUUUUGAGUUUCCGAGCUAAAAAUAUUGACCAAAAUACCCCUGCGACAGUUUUCGACCCGAUAAUUUUUCUGAGAGUUUCCCUGGCCUAGAUAUCGCCUAAGAAUACCUAGGAAUUGAUUUAGAUCGAAGAAAAAGUUUGAAAACCCUAUUUUUCAUAGUGGCCGAAACCUAUUUGCUUGGGUACCGUGUCCAAAAAUAAUUUUUGGGUCUCUAUGACCUGAGCCAUUGCGUAGCUCUUUCAAUUGUCGAAAUUUUGGCGCCGGUUUCGUGUCAUUCCGAGUUCUGUAGCUCGAGUUAUGCUCGGUUUAGCGAACGAAGUCUCCGUUGUCAAUUUGUGCCUAAAUAGGAACUCUGAAGCUUUAGAGGCUUUCUUUACGAUUUCGAUUAGUAUUAGUAGAUCGUGUUACUUCUAGUGAAGCUUGUGUUGAUGAAUGUGUUUUCUUUGUUCUAGGUUCGCAAUUUCCAUGCCCAACUUCUACUCACGAAGGUAAGAGUAACUCAGUUUUAGAGCGUCUUUGAGUCCUGCCUGCUUUUAUCGCACUGCAUGCGUUUGAGAUGAAGAUGUUUAUGUUGAUUGGCAUUUGAUUAUGAUUGUUGUGCUGAACUGGGAAAAUGUUUUUCUGGAGGCUUCGGCCUAGUGAACUUAUUGAGACGUGUGUCUCCGUUUUUUGAGAGGCUUCGGUCGUUUACUGGUUUCUGUCAUUGAACUGAGUUGGUAUGCAAUUGAAUUGAUUUAUGUUCGCUGAUAAUAGGAAUAACAUGUGGUUACUCCGAAUUAAUAAUUGGUUUGGGCAGUGUUGUUGAUUGGCUUGACAUUUAGGGCCUAAGCCUAAGAGGCGAUCAGGUGAUUGUGUUCACCUGGUUGUUCCGCCUUGUGUGGCGAUAAGCGGCAAUGAGGUGGUUGUGUCCACCCGAUUGUCCCGCCUUGUGUGGCGCAAUAAGUGGCUGUCAGGUGAUUGUGUUCACCUGGUUGUCCCGUCUUGUGUGACGUAUAAGUGGCUGUCAGGUGAUUGUGUUCACCUGGUUGUCCCGUCUUGUGUGACGUAUAAGUGGCUGUCAGGUGAUUGUGUUCACCUGGUUGUCCCGUCUGUUGAGACGUUAUUGAUCGACUCAUAUUGUUGGUUUAUUGUUAUCUGAUAUGUUAAGUGGUUGACAACUGAGUUAAUCUAUUUUGUUGAGGAUUGUCGAUAUCUGAUUUGUCGUUAUAUUGUUGAGGAUUAUUGAUAUCCGAAUUGAGGUUAUAUUGUUGAAGAUUUUGAUAUCUGAUUUGAUGUUAUAUGUUAAGUUGUUGAUAUAUGAGUAUAGUUAUGUUGCUGGUUUAUCUACCAUGCUAGGUAAUUAAAUUUGAAUAACAUGAUUUUCUCUCUUAUACAUGGUAAUUGCAUGGAGUUAACCCUUUCUAUUUGCUACUUGUUGUUUGGGCGCUUAACGCUAUUAGGCGAUGGAGAGCCUUCCGCUGAAGCUUAGCUGUUUCGAGUUGAAGAUCGUGACCGUGGGCGGUCAAAUAAUGGUGGAUGAAGCAGUUGCUUCUCCCUUUUUGGAGGAAUGUGUCUGAGUUUCUUUUUCCAUCUGAAAACUCUGUUGUUUAAACCUUAUCUUCGCCACUUGUCUAAGUGAGCGUACUUAUUUUGGAAACUUGCUUAUGAUAUUGUAAGACACUAUUAUUAUAUGUCGGGAACGGGUUGUUUAAUUAAGACUAUGUUAUGUAUUAAACUGUGUUUAGUUGUUUUGAAAAGGAAAAAAAUUAUCGUGUUUUAUUAGGAUUACGAAAUAGUCCUUAGACUUUGUUAGGUUACUAAUGUGACUCAUCAGUUGAGAAAUUGGGGCGUUACAAUUGUGGUAUCAGAGCUUUGGUUGAGAAACCAGAGCUUUUGGGUAGAGUGUCCGCUUAAGAUGUUUGAACUCUGAGACCGAUUGAUGGGGUGUCAAUCGGAGGAAGAGUGUGCUUGAUUACUGUUUAUAUAAAUUAUUCUUGAAGGUUGUUCGUAGGUGAAUAACCUUAUGCUAGUUAUCGUUAAUUAUACAUUUGAUAUAAGUAUAUACAUAGUUAGUUAUUAUUAUAGAACUUUGUGUUGUUCUGACCUGAGUAUCUGUUGUGGUCUUUGACUGUUCAUGAAAACAGGAACAGGAGACUUCCACAACCGAACGAGACUGAAGGUUCAGACAGCAUGAACCCGAUGGAGCAAGCUACUGCUAAUCUGACCGCCCUUAUGGCACAACAAAUUACUAACACUGCUGCACGAGAGGAAGCUGAAGCUCAACGUGCUGCUACUGCUGCUUUGGUGGCUGCACAAAACCAUGCUGAAGAAAAUGCUCGUCAUGUUCAGCGUGAGGAGCGUGAACUAGCUGCUUCUCAGACCAGGGGUCUGAACGAUUUCAAGCGUCAGGAUCCGCCGAAGUUCUCUGGGGGGCUUCGAUCCGGAGGAGGCUGACUUAUGGCUCCAGGAGUUGGAGAAGAUCUUCACCUUUCUGCGUACCACUGCUGAGAUGAAAGUGGAUUAUGCGACCUACCUGCUGACUGGUGAAGCUGAGUAUUGGUGGCGUGGGGCUAGAGCUAUGAUGGAAGCCAACCAUCAAGCCAUCACUUGGGAGUGUUUCCGUGGAGCUUUCCUGGACAAGUACUUUCCUAAGAGUGCUAGAGCCGCUAAGGAAGCACAAUUUCUGAGACUCCGUCAGGGGGGCAUGACCGUUGCUGAGUAUGCUGCAAAAUUGGAGUCGUUGGAGAAACACUUUCGCUACUUUAGAGGAUAGAUAGAUGAAGGCUAUAUGUGUGAGCGCUUCAUUGAUGGGCUGAGUUAUGAGCUGCAGAAGGCGGUGCAACCGCUAGGGCUGAACCGCUACCAAGUGCUGGUGGAGAAGACCAAGGGAAUCGAGGCCAUUGAUAACGCAAGGGGCAAGUACCGAGGUCUGAACAAGUCUAACCAAGGAAGUGGAGGUCCGACAAGGAAUAACCGAGGAAGAGACGACCAGGGCAAGCACUAUCAGAAGAAGCCGUACCUCCGUUCUCAGGGUGAGGGAGCAGCUUCUGGGACUUUUUAUCCCUCGGGCGGAAAUGCAGUUGCACUUGGAACCCCGUCGAUGAACCGAGAGGACGUGACUUGCUUUAGGUGCAACAAAAAGGGGCAUUUUGCUAAUCGCUGUACUGAAGGUCCUCUGUUGUGCUGGAACUGCAACAAGCCAGGUCACACUGCCGUAGAGUGCAGGAUUCCUAAAGUUGAGGUUGCCGGGAAUGUUGCUGGGGCAAGGAGGCCUACUGCUGGUGGAAGGGUCUACUUCAUCAGUGAAACUGAAGUUGAUGAAAACGAGGGUCUAAUCCGCGGUACCCGCGAGAUCCCGGGUAAUUCCCUUAUCGUACUAUUUGAUUAUGGUGUUACACAUUCUGUUAUAGACUUAGCUUGUGUGACGUGGUUAAAGCUAGAUGUGACAGAAUUACUGUUCGACCUGAUAGUAUCUAUCCUUGUUUCAUAAGGAUGUAACAGUAGAAGGAAUAGAAGUUAAGAGACAGAUUCUGAUGAGAGGUCGUAUGAGUUUCAGGAGUAGGGUAGUAUCUUUUGCAAGGAGGAGUUGUUAGAUAUUUGAUAGAUUAAGAGAUGACCUUAGAUUAGACGUGGCUACUUGAUGAGAUAGACUCAUUGGCCUUACUGGUGAGUUUUUCUGAAUUUUCAUCCGCAAGAUAUUGAGCCUGAUCAACUUAAUAUUGAGGGGGUGAUAUUUGGAAUCACAGAUGGCGUGGACUAUGAUAGGAGGAUUGAUUGGAUUGGAACGAUGAUUAGUCAAGUUGAUAGAUGGGUUUAUGUUGAAUGUUUGAUUCUCCUUGCGGAUAAGUUGUAGUUUUAAGAAAUAAGUCUUCCACUUGAGGAGGGUGAGAGAGCGAAAGGAUAAUAGAGGUUCAAACUUAUUAAAGGUGUAGUAGACUUUAAGUCUAAGAAUUCUUGUCCUAAGUGGGUAAAACCUAGAGACUGUCAGACUUUGGGUAGGAAACUAAGGAUUUGAUUGGCAUAGGAGUGACAAGGUUAAGGACGGAAAGUUCUAGCAUUGGGUUGCAGAUUGGAGGUUGUUAUCUGUGGGACAGUCACCAAGAACCUAAGGGUAAACGAGACGUUGAGGAUAGCUUAGCAAAUGUUAUGUGAGGGAAUGACACUCCCGAGUUCCUCUGACACCAAGUUUCGAGGACGAAACUUUGUUUUUGGGGGGUAGUAUUGUAAGACCCAAGAUUUUAGAAUUAAAUAAAUAAAUAAUUUUCAGCUCACGCAUAGGAUUCUGUGUAAGCGUGAGAGGAACUUGACUUUCGUUUAAUGUUUGGAUUAGUAUUAUGAAGAAGAAAACGUUAGUAAACGACUAAUUUACACUUAAAGACACGAUGGAAACUAAUUCCAAAAAUCUUCAGAGAAAUGCUAGAACUCCUCUUAAUCCUUCCAUGAUAAGCGUUUCGAUACGAAACCCUGGAAUGUACGAACGUCCGAUUCUAAUUCUCGGAGGCUUGCCGAAACUAAAUCACUGAUAGUUCAAGAAACCUAAAAUCAACGGACGAUGAAUACUUUUCCUGUUCGGAGCUUCAAAUAAAGAUUUCAUCCGCAUACGCCCACUCUAAUCGACGUUCCAAAUAUUUCUUCAGAAGGAAGUUUCUGCAUCCGAGGUCAAAACCAUAAAGUGCAUUUUAAGCCGGUAAACAUUAAAAACAAGCCUCGAAAACCAAAAAUCAUACUGAUAUUUCUUUGAAGAAUUAGAAGAUUCAGCGGGAAGAUUAUCGUGUCUAAAAUACGUUGGAAUCAGUAGGAAAAAUCGGAAUCGCGAAAUUUUCAUUUUUCCGCAUUUUCCAAAACCUGUAAAUAGCUUGAAAAUGAAAAAUAAAAAAACAAAAAAAAAAUCACAAAACACACACACGGCCGUGGCUUUGGAGAGGAAGAGGAGGAAAAGUGAUUUUUGCCAAUUCUUGACCGAUCGUCGUUCUGUUCGUUGCUACGCGUAGGCCUCGAGGUACUGAUGCUUUUCCUUACCUCUGAUCGCAAAUUCUGUCGCUUUUCUCUAUGUCUUUCUGUGCUCAAAGUUUUGAGCUUUUUGUAAAAAUGUCCAAAUAACUUGAUUUUAGUGUCUAAACUUAUUCCCUACGUGCUCCUGAGUAUGUUUAGCGGAUUACAUUUCGCCGAAUCUCGUCGAAUCGCCGCAGAACUUCAAUUCUGCUUAAGAACCCAUUUUUAUGCUGAGGUUCAGCUUUUUGGAUCAAAAACUCUCGACUGAGCUUAGCUUUAGUAGGAUUAGUUGUUAUAAAUGUCAUUAGGAUCGACCCCAUCUAAUUUGUUUUUCGUAAUUCUGAUUUUGAGUUUCCGAGCUAAAAAUAUUGACCAAAAUACCCAUGCGACAGUUUUCGACCCGAUAAUUUUUCUGAGAGUUUCCCUGGCCUAGAUAUCGCCUAAGAAUACCUAGGAAUUGAUUUAGAUCGAAGAAAAAGUUUGAAAACCCUAUUUUCCAUAGUGGCCGAAACCUAUUUGCUUGGGUACCGUGUCCAAAAAUAAUUUUUGGGUCUCUAUGAACUGAGCCAUUGCGUAGCUCUUUCAAUUGUCGAAAUUUUGGUGCCGGUUUCGUGUCAUUCCGAGUUCUGUAGCUCGAGUUAUGCUCGUUUUAGCGAACGAAGUCUCUGUUGUCAAUUUGUGCCUAAAUAGGAACUCUGAAGCUUUAGAGGCUUUCUUUACGAUUUCGAUUAGUAUUAGUAGAUCGUGUUACUCCUAGUGAAGCUUGUGUUGAUGAAUGUGUUUUCUUUGUUCUAGGUUCGCAAUUUCCAUGCCCAACUUCUACUCACGAAGGUAAGGGUAACUCAGUUUUAGAGCGUCUUUGAGUCCUGCCUGCUUUUAUCGCACUGCAUGCGUUUGAGAUGAAUAUGUUUAUGUUGAUUGACAUUUAAUUAUGAUUGUUGUGCUGAACUGGGAAAAUGUUUUUCUGGAGGCUUCGGCCGAGUGAACUUAUUGAGACGUGUGUCUCCGUUUUCUGAGAGGCUUCGGCCGUUUACUGGUUUCUGUCAUUGAACUGAGUUGGUAUGCAAUUGAAUUGAUUUAUGUUUGCUGAUAUUAGGAAUAACAUGUGGUUACUCCGAAUUAAUAAUUGGUUUGGGCAGUGUUGUUGAUUGGCUUGGCAUUUAGGGCCUAAGCCUAAGAGGCGAUCAAGUGAUUGUGUUCACCUGGUUGUUUCGCCUUGUGUGGCGAUAAGCGGCAAUGAGGUGGUUGUGUCCACCUGGUUGUCCCGCAUUGUGUGGCGCAAUAAGUGGCUGUCAGGUGAUUGUGUUCACCUGGUUGUCCCGUCUUGUGUAACGUAUAAGUGGCUGUCAGGUGAUUGUGUUCACCUGGUUGUCUCGUCUGUUGAGACGUUAUUGAUCGACUCAUAUUGUUGGUUUAUUGUCAUAUGAUAUGUUAAGUGGUUGACAGCUGAGUUAAUCUAUUUUGUUGAGGAUUGUCGAUAUCUGAUUUGUCGUUAUAUUGUUGAGGAUUAUUGAUAUCCGAAUUGAGGUUAUAUUGUUGAGGAUUUUGAUAUCUGAUUUGAUGUUAUAUGUUAAGUUGUUGAUAUAUGAGUAUAGUUAUGUUGCUGGUUUAUCUACCAUGCUAGGCAAUUAAAUUUGAAUAACAUGAUUUUCUCUUUUAUACAUGGUAAUUGUAUGGAGUUAACCCUUUCUAUUUGCUACUUGUUGUUUGGGCGCUUAACGCUAUUAGGCGAUGGAGAGCCUUCCGCUGAAGCUUAGCUGUUUCGAGUUGAAGAUCGUGACCGUGGGCGGUCGAAUAAUGGUGGAUGAAGCAGUUGCUUCUCCCUUUUUGGAGGACUGUGUCUGAGUUUCUUUUUCCAUCUGAAAACUCUGUUGUUUAAACCUUAUCUUCGCCACUUGUCUAAGUGAGCGUACUUAUUUUGGAAACUUGCUUAUGAUAUUGUAAGACACUAUUAUUAUAUGUCGGGAACGAGUUGUUUAAUUAAGACUAUGUUAUGUAUUAAACUGUGUUUCGUUGUUUUGAAAAGGAAAAAAAUUAUCGUGUUUUCUUAGGAUUACGAAAUAGUCCUUAGACUUUGUUAGGUUACUAAUGUGACUCCUCAGUUGAGAAAUUGGGGCGUUACAGUCGUUGCCGUCUCCGCCAGUAUAGUGGGCUUGAGAGAGAUUAGCAAGCAGUGAAGAGAUGAAGGAGAAUGGUUGGGGGCCUUUGUGAGUGUGUUUUCUGUAAGGUGUUUGAUUAUAAGCGGGUUUGAGGAGAUUGAUUUUUUUAUUUUCUGAAUUUUAUGAUGAAGAUGGUUGAAGACUUGAAGAGGAUGAAGAACCAAUGAAUAUUCUGGGCUAUUGUUUCUUUUUUAUUUUUUAAUUUUAAUUUUAAUCCAGAAAACGUUAAAUCUUGGACGGAAUGAAACGGAAAAUCAAAAAUGCAAACGAUAGGUAAUGUGGGGGACGAAAAUUGCUCAUUUUUUUUGUUGAGGACCAAAAUCGCACAAUUGGUAUAAGUGGGGACCAAAAGUGCAGUUAAGCCUUCUCCUUUACUUUGUGAGUUUCUAUAUUUUUAACUCUGUUCCUUAUGAUUAUUUAUUUAUUUAUAUAGAUUCAUGAUACCCACACCCGACGCUUACUCUAUUUCAUCGUGUAAAAUCAACUGAUUUAAUUUUCCCCUAUAGGUAUGGAUUUGUAUAUGCAUGUAUAAUUGGGGUGGUUUUUUUUAUUGAAUUUAAUUGUCCUUUUCAUAGGUUCAUGUUCUCCUUUUCGAUUUUCCUCUUUUCUCGUGCCCUUUUUCAUAUGGAUUUCUCAGACACCCUAUUUUUUUUUAUGGCUUAAUCCAGUUUUUAGUCCCCAACCUUUGCCAUAAAUAUGGCUUUAGUCCCUCGCCGGCGUAAAGGUGGGGAUUGGUACUCAGUUUUUGGCAAAAUGAUUGUCUUUGGUCCUUCCGGCCGGUUGGGUCAACGCCGGAGCUCCGGGAAGCUCAUGUGGCAUUGCCACAUCAUUUAAUAAGCUUGGUUGGAAUUUUUUUUCUUUUUCAUUUAAAAAAUUAAAAUUAAAACACCAUUAGGAUUUCUGCGUGAGAAGAGAGAGGGAGCACGUUCAAUCUUUCAAAUCGGAGAAUUUUAACAGAGAUUUGAAUAAUAGCUGGAAAAUUAGCAGUGUGAAGAAGGUUCAGAGCGUGAGAUUGGAGAAUCGAAUUAGGGGAUUAUCUGAAACAACGAUGAAGAGGUCUUCGUUGUCGUCGUCGACGGUGAUGAUGUCGUCGUCAUCGGCGAAAGAGAGCUUUGCGGUGGUGAAGAAGACGUCGAAGGAGUCGUACGAGGACUUCAGGAAAUUGAUGGUGGAGAUGAUAACGGAGAUGGAGAUAUCUGAGGCGGAGGAUCUGGAGCAGUUAUUGUAGAGUUUCCUGGCUUUGAACUCACGGAGAUAUCAUGAGGUGAUUGUGAGAGCUUUCAUGGAGAUUUGGCAACAGAUGUUCAUUUGGAACCCUGCAUCUGUGAAAAAUCUCAAAAAAUGGUGCUGUUAAAACGGAUUUGAAAGACUAGAUUUUUUUUUUCAUUCAUGGAGUUUGAUUUCUUUUCCUUUAAUCAGGCGUGAGAUUAUGCAAAAAGUUUCAAUUGGUUUUGGCUCUAUUUUCAUUUUUUUUUUGUUUCAAGAAGGAAUAAAUCAUGUAAAGGGAUGGUGUGAUUUUUAUUUCCUAUGGAGACACUCAUUCUCUGGAUCUGAGGUUUUUUCUUUAACUGAAAAAAUCUGGGUUGAAGAAAGAAGAGGAAGAAGAAGAUGCUCAUAAGAAGAAAAAUUGGUUUUUUUUGAAUUAAUUAAGAAGGAAGUUAAUUAGUGAGGGUUAAUGGUGUUUUAAUUUUAUUUUUUUAAAUGAAAAAGAAAAAAAUUCCACCCAAGCUCAUUAAAUGACGUGGCAAUGCCACAUGAGCUUCCCGGAGCUCCGGCGUUGACCCAACCGACCGGAAGGACUAAAGCCAAUCAUUUUGCCAAAAACUGGGGACCAAUCUCCACCUUUACUCCAGCGAGGGACUAAAGCCAUAUUUAUGACAAAGGUUGGGGACCAAAAACUGGAUUAACUUUUUUUAUUGAUUAUUCAUGGGUCGAACUAGUUCUUCUUUCAUUUUUAUGAAAAUUUGAGCUCAUGUGUUUGGCACUACUAUCAUCUACUGAUUUUUAAUGCCACACUUCACUAUGAUUCACCACACGAUGCAUGCCACCAUAAAAUAAAAAAAUCAAAGCACAGCAACAUUACAUAACUAAACUUGCUUAUAAAAAAAAAAAACAUAACUAAACUCAGAAAUCACAAUAAAAGGAUCACAAAUAGCUAGCAUAAAUUCAUUCCAUAAUAAUAUUGUAAGUUGUAACCACACUCAUGAAGCAUCACCUUUUAUUUGUUCUAAUAAUAUACAAAAGGGCCACACGGUGAUACAUGACAAGUAAAGGCAUAAAGGUAUAUUGGGGGAAUUAUAAUUACUAAACUUUUCAGUAGCUCAAAUCCUAUGAUUUGAUUUUGCCCUAGUGCUUCAAAAUCACCCACAGAAAUUUAAGGAUCACAUGCAUAUACUCAUAAGCUCCAAGCUCCUGGCGCAUAUACCAAAUUAAUCAGGGGUGGGGGCCAUGGUGGGGAGGGUGCCCAUGUGGCCCAGGAGGAGGUGCAUGGGCAUGAGGACCAGGCGGUGGUGCAUGAGCAUGAGGACCAGGCGGUGGUGCUGCUGGACCAGGAGGUGAAGGAGAUGGAUGAGCAUGUGGUGGCGGAGAAGGUCCGGGAUGCGGUGGACCCGGGUGGUGGUGAGGGCCUGGGCCUCCUGGUCCUGGUGGUGGUGGAUUAGGCAUAUGUUCCUCAACUGAUGAAUUUGUGGAGGAGAUGAAUUAGUGACAAUGGGUUUAAACAAUUGAAACCACUGCUUUGAUUAAUAUAGGGGAUCAUAGAAAGAAAGAGCCCUUAUCUUAUCUUCAGCAAUCCAUCAGUCAAUGCCCAAUUUUACUUUCUGUUAGGCAACUAACAUUCUUCAAUUUGUGUAGGUGAGAGUGGAAAAUCCUGUAAUUUUAUUAAAAUGGCGAAUGAAAGUUCUACCCUGCUUACUAUUUACUGCGUGUGAUGAUGCAAAUUUAUAAAGCCAUCUAGAAGCUAGUGCUUAAUUUUCAAUGUGUGCAUAAUAUAUUUUUGGUCUAAGGAAAAAAAUUAUACAUUGAGAAAUAUGACAUGACAUGACUUUUUAGUGUACUGAAAAGAUAAAUUUACAUCUAGAUUUAGUCGAUCACCUUCUGACAUAUUAUUUUAUAAUAGUUUUUAAUUAUCAUUAACAUUUAUAGCAGUUAAAAACUAUCACUAAAAUGUAUGGUUGUAAUGUGUUGAGAAAAAAUCAUAUGUCGAUGUAUCACCGCUCUUUAUUAUAUAUAACCCCAAUUACCUUUGGCCCAAAUAUGUUUGGUUUUGACGAAAACGAAAUGAAUGAAUGGAGAAGAAUAGAAAAUAAUACUGAUAUUAAUGUAUUUAGAAACACAAAAGCAUUCAUCCAUGAAUCUUAACCCAAUCCACUGAAUGGCUCUCCUAGGGUUAGGGAGGCGGCCGCCAAACAAGGUUUUGUUUAUCCAAGGUUGAUCACCACGUUUUACUUCUCUCUUUUGACUAAACGCUGACCCUGUCUGGUGAACCAUAUUCUUUUCUGCGUCUAUUGCAUGCAACAGAGGUUUUUUCUGCUAUCAAGACUGUACGAAGGCCGAUCAUGGCGUUUAAUGGUGAUGUUCCGAUUCUGAACUGGGAAGAGGAGGAGAAUGUCGUUCUUGACCUAGGUGAGGCUGAGGUUGACCCGCAGCUCGGUGCGAAUGUCUGGCUCGUUGGGAAGGUGUUGUCCCCGAACAAGGUUACGACACCUAUUUUUAGAAGCGUCAUGCUUAGGCUCUGGGAGACAAGGAACGUGAAGGAGAUACGACAUGUUGGCCCUAAUCUUUUUGCUUUUGAGUUUGGCAAAACAAAAGACAGAGAUUUGUUUCUGCGAUCUGGUCCGUGGCUCUUUGAUCGUCACCUGGUGGUGCUGGAUGUUUUUGACAUCACCAAGGAUCCCAUGCAAGUGCCCUUGACCAAAGUUCCUCUCUGGGUACAGGUUCAUGGGCUCCCGUACACGAUGAGAUCAGAACGGAUAGCGAAGAGUUUGGGGGAAUCUUUCGCCGGCUACCUGGGUUGGGACAAAUAUGAGGCACACAGGUAUGGGUACUGCUUGCGGAUUAGAGCUUGGGUGGAUGUGACUACGCCGCUGCGGCGAGGUCAACUCGUAGCAACUAGAGGAGAAGCCCCCCUAAGGGUAACGUUUAAAUAUGAAAAGAUAGUCAAUAUUUGUUACCGUUGUGGGAAACUAGACCACGUUCUCCGAAACUGUGCGGUGGAGGGGAAUGGUGGUGCUCUCCGUUUUGGUGCUUGGAUGAGAGCUGAGGAUGAUCACCCUGUUGGAGGUUACCGUGGGGGAGAAAAUAAAGGAUACAUACAGCCCAAUGAGGAUGGAAAGGAACCCUAUGAGGAAGAUGGAGAUUAUGUUGAGGAGGAGGAACUGGAACCUGAAUCAGAUUUGGUGCAAAAUUGUGACGGAGGGAACAAAAAUUUGAACGAACACGAGGAGGGAGAAAACUGUGAGCUUGCUGCCACUUAUAGUAAGGAGGACACAGUUUACUUGCAAAAAAACACAUGUAGGUGGUGAAGGUAAACAAAAGGAGACCAAGCAGCACUUAGAUGGAAAAGUUUUUAAUUUUGGGGCCCAAAAAUCACGUGGCUUCCAGACCAAAAUGGGGCCAGUGGCAAGGGAUAUGAGAAGAGGCAGAAACAUGGGAAUUAAUAGAAGGGAAAGUGGUGAUGGAUUUGAAAAUCAUGGCUUACCAAGAAAGCGGGCAGGUGGACCAUCUUCUACAUUUGCUCAGCAGCGCACGGGGUUCUCUCCCCCACUGAAGAAGAUAAAUAAUUCUGAUGGAUUGGGGAUGGCGGGCACUGCUGAGCAGUCCCGCCCACCUCAAUGAGGAUUUUAGCUUGGAACUGUCGGGGGUUGGGGAGCAUCCUGGCAGUUCGAGCCCUUGGUAGGCUCAUUCAGUCUGAAGCUCCCGGCAUAGUGUUCGCGAUGGAGACAAAAUGGUACGAGUAUGAGGCACAACGUCAUAGAGGCUUGGGAGGCCUUCCAAAUGUCUUUCCGGUUCAAUGUGCAGGCCAAGGACAUUCGCGAGCAGGAGGUUUAUGUUUGUUUUGGGGUCCAGCAGUGGACGUUACCAUUAUUUCAAGUUCUUUGAAUCAUAUUUAUUUUACUGCUACUCAUGUGGAGGAGCAGAAGGUCAUGCAGAUUUUGGGGAUUUAUGGCUUCCCCGAUGAGAGGAGGAGAGUUGAUACUUGGGGUCUGGUUAAGAGACUGUUGGUUGACACUGCUAUCCCUGCGCUCUGUGUAGGGGAAUUCAAUGAUUGUCUUUCUCCGCAGGAUAAGUUGGGAGGAGACCCCCUUGAUCUUCAGCAUAUACAGAGGAUGGCUAAAGUCAGAACCGAAUGCAAUUUGCAGGAGGUGGAUUUUACAGGAUACAGGUAUACAUGGUCUAAUAAUAGGGCACCAGAUACAAUCGAGGAGAGGCUAGAUUAUGCGCUUACAAAUGACGCCUGGGAUGAAUUGUGGCCUUCAACGGUGGUUCACCAUUUACCCAGGUAUAAAUCUGAUCAUAAUCCUAUUUUACUAACUUGUGGUGUUCGCAGGAAUAGAGAAGAGAUAGGCCGAGCAAAAAUUUUCCGAUUUGAGGAGAUGUGGCUCCAAGAAGGACAAGAGUGUGCUGAGAUAGUGACAGAGACUUGGUGUAGACUGCGAAAUGACCUCCCCACCAAAAUAGCUGAGGUGGGAGGGGCCCUAAAGUGUUGGGGAAAAGACAAGUUUGGUGAUAUUCCCAGGAAGAUUUCUGAUCAGAAAGCCCUAUUGCAAGACUUGCAAAGAAAGGAUCAAACAACGGAGGUGCUGAGUGCCGCGUCAGUGGUUGAAAAAGAGCUUGAUAGUUUGCUGGAACAAGAGGAAAAGUGGUGGCGCCAACGUUCUAGAGCCACCUAGUUAAAGUGCGGAGAUAAGAAUACCAGUUUUUUCCAUAAAAAAGCAACUCAGCGGCGAAAGAGGAAUAUGAUAGAGAAAAUAGAGGAUGAUGGAGGAUGUGAAUAUGUCCAUGAUCGUGACAUUGCAAGAGUUUUAAAAAAUUAUUUUAUGAACUUGUUCUCUACUUCUAACCCUGACAGGAUUGAGGAGACCACAUCUUUGGUAGCAAACAGGCUGUCAGACUCUCAUUUGUAGGUUCUUGCUGAUCCUUUUACAAAGGAAGAUGUAGAAGAGGCCUUGUUCCAAAUGCAUCCGACCAAAGCUCCGGGAGCGGAUGGCUUCCCGGCGCUUUUCUACCAGCGGUUUUGGGAUGUCAUUGGGGACGAUGUAGCAGAGUUCUAUUUGCAGAUUUUGCAUGGGCUUGUGUCGCCAGGUAUUAUCAAUCAUACGAUGAUUGUUCUCAUUCCUAAGGUUAAGAAAGCUGUUAAUGCGACCCAGUUUAGGCCUAUUAGUUUGUGUAUUGUUCUGUUUAAUAUUGUGACUAAGGUGAUAGCAAAUAGGCUGAAAAAUAUUUUACCUGAUUUAAUUUGCGAAUCCCAAAGUGCAUUUGUACCAGGACGUAUGAUCACAGAUAAUGCUCUCAUUUCUUAUGAGUGUUUUCACUUUAUGAAGAAAAGAACUAAUGGCCGGAAUGGCACGAUGGCGCUGAAAUUGGAUAUGUCCAAAGCGUACGACCGGAUCGAAUGGUCUUUUUUGAGUUUUUUAAUGACAUCUAUGGGUUUUCCACAUAAUUGGGUGAAUUUAAUUAUGAGUUGUGUAUCAACGAUAUCUUUUUCCAUUAUGUUGAACGGUAACCCGUAGGAAAAUUUUGUCCCUAAUAGAGGUUUAAGACAAGGGGAUCCGCUUUCUCCUUAUCUUUUUAUCUUGUGUGGGGAGAUGUUUUCUGCUUUGAUUAAUAGAUCCAUUGCUUCAAAAGCACUUUCUGGAAUUAAAAUAGCGAGGAAUGCUCCUGUUAUUUCACAUUUGCUUUUUGCAGAUGAUAGUAUCCUCUUUGGUAGAGCACCAGUACAGGAGGCGGAAUGCCUAAAAGAGAUUUUAGUGACUUAUGAACGUGCUUCCGGGCAAGUAGUCAACCUUGACAAGUCAAUGCUCUCAGUGAGCCGAAACGUGCAGCAAACCAGUUUUGAUGAGCUUAAGCAUCUAUUGGGAGUAAAGGUCGUAGAGAGCUAUGACAAGUACUUGGGGCUACCAACAAUUAUUGGUAAGUCAAAACGACAAAUUUUCAAUUUUGUUAAGGCAAGAGUGUGGAAAAAGUUAAAAGGUUGGAAGGAAAAUUUUCUUUCACGAGCCGGGAGGGAAGUUUUAAUUAAAUCAGUGGCGCAAGCCAUUCCCUCUUAUGUUAUGUCCUGUUUUCUUUUACCUGACGGCCUGUGUGCAGAUAUUAAUAGCAUGAUCUCCAACUUCUUUUGGGGAGGAGAUGUAUCUCAGAAGGGGAUGCAUUGGACAAAGUGGAACAAGUUGUGCAAAAACAAAUUGGAGGGUGGUCUUGGAUUCCGGGACUUCAAGGCUUUUAAUAUAGCUCUGGUGGCGAAAAAUUGGUGGAGAAUCUAUUCCAAUCCAGAAGCAUUAGUUGCUCAAGUUUUUAAAGGUGUUUAUUUCCAGAGUGGUGAUAUGUGGGGAGCAAAAAAAGGCUAUCGACCGAGCUAUGCAUGGUCAAGCAUUCAUAAAUCGGCUUGGGUUUUUCAGAGAGGUGGUUUAUGGCGUAUUGGUAAUGGUAAGAGAAUUAAUCUGUGGACAGACAAUUGGUUGCCCGGAGGGGCACCCACUCUUUUCCGGCAGGAUGUAGUCGAGGAGCUUAAUAUACAGGUGGUCAGUAAUUUACUUGAGCCAGACACUUCCAGAUGGCACUCAGAAUUAGUGGAGCAUAUCUUUCACCCAGGGACAGCUAGGCGCAUCAUGGGAGUGCCCCUUGCUACUCAAGCACGGGAUGAUUUUCUUUGCUGGCCUUUCACCAUGGAUGGGAGGUACUCUGUUAAGACUGGUUACCAUUUUGUUUGUACUGCUUGGGAGGGUGAUGUUGUAAGACCCAAGUUUUUAAGUUUAGAAUAAGUGAAUAAAAUCCUAUUCACGAUUAGGGUUGAUGUAUCGUUAAGGGAAAACCUGGACAAAAGUUUACUAAAUGAAAUAAAUUUAUGAAGGAGAAAGUUCAGGAAAAGUCUAAGGAGUGUAUCGAAGUCGAUAAAAGUUAUAGCACGACUAAUAUACGCUUAAACCUAGGGCAAAAACGCUAGUAAAUAGCUAAUUUACACUUUAAGACACGAUGGAAACUAAUUCCAAAAAUCUUCAGAGAAAUGUUAGAACUUCUCUUAUUCGUCUAUAGACAAGCAUUUCGAUACGAAACCCUGGAAUGUACGAACGUCAAAUUCCAAUACUCGGAAGUUUGCCGAAACCAAAACCCUGAUAGUUCAAGAAACCUAAAAUCAACGGACGAUGAAGACUUUUUCUAUUCGGAGCUUCAAAUGAAGAUUCCACACGCGUACACCCAUUUCUCUUGAUGUUUUCAAUCUUUCUUCAGAAGGAAGUUUUCUCUUCCGACAUCCACUGCAAAAAGUAACUUAUCGGGUAAAAUAGAUUUACACCGACUUUGCAUUAUGCACCUAAAAUCCAAGGAACCUCUUUUGAGUUUUGGAAUUCUGUCGCCAAAACCUAUCUUAGAAUUCACGGAGAAUGAAGCCGGAAAAAUCGGAAUCGCGAAACUUUCAUUUUCCCGCGUUUUUCCAUCCUCUAUAUAUAGCAAGAAAAUGAGAAAAAUGGCAAAACUUCACCAUUUUCUCUCCCAAAACCCGCGAGCUUCACCAAGAGGAGGAGGAGAAGAGAUUUUCGCCAUUUCUUGCUUGAUCGUUGAUUCAACAGUUGCUACUUGAAGGUAUCGAGGUAUAGUCGCUAAUCCUUACCUCUGAUCGUCGUUUCCGUAGCUUUUCACUAUGUCUUUCUGUGCUCUUAGUUUUGAGGUUUUUGCAAAACUAUCCAGAUAACUUCAUUUUUCUAUCUAAACAUCUUCCCUACGUGCCCAAGAGCAUGUUUAGCGAAUAAUAUUACGCCGAUUCUCGAAAAACUAUCGUCGAGUUUCAAUUCUGCUUCAAAUACCCAUUUUGGGACAAAGUUUCGUCCUUUGGGCUGAAAACUAUCGCCUUAGCUUAGUGCUAGUAGGAUUAGUCGUCAUAAACGUCGUUGGUGACGUCCCCAUCCAAUUUGCUUUUCGAAAUUUCAGUUUUGAAAUUCUGAGCUAAAAAUAUUGACCAAAAUACCCCUGCGACAGUUUUCGAUCCGAUUCCGAGUUUAGAUUAACCUUAGUUACGACUAAUAAUAACCUAGGAACCAAGUUUGAUCGAAGAAAAAUCGACACACACAAUUACCAUGUGUGGCCGUGAGCACCCUAGGAGGAGGAAGAAAAUUCUUUUUUCGAAAACUUGUUCUUUCGCGCUAGAUUAUCGUACCUCGGAGUAUAUGCUACUUCGAGUAACCCUAGUAUUUAUUGUUUGCUGAGUUUCUGACUCAUUGUGAUUGAUUUCUGUGGUUUUGCUCUAAAGGUUCUUUUGAGGAAUUUCCUGAAGAGCAAGGAGUUGAUUGUGUAGGAACGUUCGAAGAGAACCCUGGAGAAUCUACAGGUGAGGGCUUCUCACUGAAGUAUUAGUUAAUGCUUUAGGUGUCGACGUAUUCGACUUGAUUUACUGUUUAUGCACUUGUUUGUGUUUGAUUGGGAAAAGUUUUCUGAGGCUUCGACUGACAAUGUAGAUGAUUCAUCUACUGACUGUUUUUGAGAUUGAAUUACAUGGUACGUGCUAAAUGGUUAAUCUAGGAUGUGUGAUAUUUGCUUUAUAUGCUAAGUGCUACGUGGUUAUUCUAGGAGAUGUUGAUAUAUGUGACAUGCUUGUUGACUGUGCUGAUUUAUCUAUGUCAUUUCACAUAUGUCUGUGGUACUGAGGAGUGAGAAUAACGGGCAGGUCAUGCCGAUUUUAUUUUGAGAUUUUGGAGAAAGUUUGAUAGGACGAACGAAGAUUCGGGCCUUGUUAUGGUCUUCGUGGAUCGAGACACUCUCGGGGAGUUAAUUGGGAUUAUGGGACUUUGGAAACUCAUAAGAUUUGCGAUAAGACUAAUGGAAACUAUUUUAUAAGGAAAAUUCAUAAGACAUUAAACAACCUCUAAAUCUUCAAAUAAUGACAACAAACUCGAAAGAAAGCUUAGGAUUCAAAUCUUAGUUUUGGAAAAGAGGGAGUGUCGUCGGAUCCAAGUGUUGAGAAAAUUAAUAAGUUCUGAGUACGUUGAUACUCUUGUGCUCGAGUAGCAGUUGUGUUGUUGGGCUAUCUGAGAGAUAAGCCGAGGAAACAGGUAGUUUCCGAGUAUGUUGAUACUCUUUGCUCGUUGAGCCGUUUUGACCAUCGGAUGGAGAUGAGUCGGAUGAUUUGGAGAUCAUCAUGAGAGAAUGUGUCGUUGUAAAGGAUUGUCUUUUGUCGCAGAAUCGACUUUACCUUAGGGUAUGUUUUUAGAGACAAUAAGUUAGCCAGAACACGUGGCGACGUGUCGAGUGAGGUCGGAGACGUUGUUUGGCUAAUCAUUUUGCAUUCAUGCACCAUUAAUGAGGUAUUAACACGAGACGAACUUCGGACCUCGGUGGAUUCCAAAAUGGUCAUAAGACCCGGAUUUCCGCGUAAGAGCGCUAUUAGGCGACUCUUAGUAGCAGACCGAAAUGGCAGGCCUUCGGGUUUUAUGCUGAUCUGACUACCGUUGUUGUUGGAGUAAGAGGCACGCGGGCCGAAAUGGUCCCACCGUGGCUGGUGCUAGGGCUGAUCCGUUGAUGUCCAUCCCUUCCGGAAUGCAUUUGGUUAACUGGGUUAACCGGCAUUUGCAUUUCACGCAACAUGCAUACUGACUUAGUUGCUGAGUGUGUUUGAUACUUGUUAAUCCUAUUUGAUGCAUGCUAUUUGUUAUUACUGUCGUUUAUAUUCAUUGUGGAAUAUGCAACCUUAGGAUGCUAUCUUUAACUUAUAAGCCUAAGCGGCUGUCUCUUAUCUGUACCUAUUGGGAUUAUUAAUUACAUAAUUCUUUGGAGUUGACCCUCGCGUCUUCUGUGUGUGCUUUGGCGGACUACGCCCUUUGUCAGAUGUCUUUAGCGGAUUGGUUCACGAUGGUCCACCCUUCGGGGGGGACUAGAUAUGAGAUGAUAGAUCAGGACGACCCCGCUAGCCAUCGAGCGACGUACUCGGGGAGGAUCAUGGAGGAUCGCGUAGACAGCGGAGGACACUUGAUGGAAGGAGUGCUGAGGAAGUGCACUGUCAGUUUCAACUUGCCGCCCGGCAUGCACUGCGAACCAGGAGUAGGAGCACCACCACCACC
RNAcentral lists this long non-coding RNA (26470 nucleotides) under Lotus japonicus. RNAcentral describes it as "long non-coding RNA (LJAP_LNC001862)". The record is from RNAcentral. Lineage: Eukaryota; Viridiplantae; Streptophyta; Magnoliopsida; Fabales; Fabaceae.